This 2784-nucleotide ribosomal RNA is filed under the name human gut metagenome. RNAcentral describes it as "bacterial LSU rRNA". It matches the Rfam family "Bacterial large subunit ribosomal RNA". The record is from RNAcentral.
AGGGCGCACGGUGGAUGCCUUGGCACUAGAAGCCGAUGAAGGACGUGACUAACGACGAAAUGCUUUGGGGAGCUGUAAGUGAGCAAUGAUCCAGAGAUGUCCGAAUGGGGGAACCCGGCAGGUAAUGCCUGUCACUCAUUACUGUUAAGGUAAUGUAGAGGAAGACGCAGUGAACUGAAACAUCUAAGUAGCUGUAGGAAGAGAAAGCAAAAGCGAUUGCCUUAGUAGCGGCGAGCGAAACGGCAAGAGGGCAAACCGAAGAGUUUACUCUUCGGGGUUGUAGGACUGCAACGUGGACUUAAAGAUUAUAGAAGAACUACCUGGGAAGGUAGGCCAAAGAGAGUAAUAGCCUCGUAUUCGAAAUAGUCUUUAUACCUAGCAGUAUCCUGAGUACGGCGAGACACGAGAAAUCUCGUCGGAAUCUGGGAGGACCAUCUCCCAACCCUAAAUACUCUCUAGUGACCGAUAGUGAACCAGUACCGUGAGGGAAAGGUGAAAAGCACCCCGGGAGGGGAGUGAAAUAGAACCUGAAACCGUGUGCCUACAACAAGUUCGAGCCCGUUAAUGGGUGAGAGCGUGCCUUUUGUAGAAUGAACCGGCGAGUUACGAUAUGAUGCGAGGUUAAGUUGAAGAGACGGAGCCGUAGGGAAACCGAGUCUUAAUAGGGCGCAUUAGUAUCAUGUCGUAGACCCGAAACCAUGUGACCUACCCAUGAGCAGGUUGAAGGUGAGGUAAAACUCACUGGAGGACCGAACCAGGGCACGUUGAAAAGUGCUUGGAUGACUUGUGGGUAGCGGAGAAAUUCCAAACGAACUUGGAGAUAGCUGGUUCUCUCCGAAAUAGCUUUAGGGCUAGCGUCGAUGUUAAGUCUCUUGGAGGUAGAGCACUGUUUGGGUGAGGGGUCCAUCCCGGAUUACCAAUCUCAGAUAAACUCCGAAUGCCAAUGAGAUAUAAUCGGCAGUCAGACUGCGAGUGCUAAGAUCCGUAGUCGAAAGGGAAACAGCCCAGACCACCAGCUAAGGUCCCAAAAUAUAUGUUAAGUGGAAAAGGAUGUGGGGUUGCACAGACAACUAGGAUGUUAGCUUAGAAGCAGCUAUUCAUUCAAAGAGUGCGUAAUAGCUCACUAGUCGAGUGACCCUGCGCCGAAAAUGUACCGGGGCUAAAACAUAUUACCGAAGCUGUGGAUACCUUUAUAGGUAUGGUAGGAGAGCGUUCUAUGUGCGAAGAAGGUGUACCGUGAGGAGUGCUGGAGCGCAUAGAAGUGAGAAUGCCGGUAUGAGUAGCGAAAGACAGGUGAGAAUCCUGUCCACCGUAAGACUAAGGUUUCCAGGGGAAGGCUCGUCCGCCCUGGGUUAGUCGGGACCUAAGGAGAGACCGAAAGGUGUAUCCGAUGGACAACAGGUUGAUAUUCCUGUACUAGAGUAUAUAGUGAUGGAGGGACGCAGUAGGCUAACUAAACCAGACGAUUGGAAGUGUCUGGCCAAGCAGUGAGGUGUGAUAUGAGUCAAAUGCUUAUAUCUUUAACAUUGAGCUGUGAUGGGGAGCGAAGUUUAGUAGCGAAGUUAGUGAUGUCACACUGCCGAGAAAAGCUUCUAGCGUUAAUUAUACUCUACCCGUACCGCAAACCGACACAGGUAGUCGAGGCGAGUAGCCUCAGGUGAGCGAGAGAACUCUCGUUAAGGAACUCGGCAAAAUGGCCCCGUAACUUCGGGAGAAGGGGCGCUGACUGAUGGUCAGCCGCAGUGAAUAGGCCCAAGCAACUGUUUAUCAAAAACACAGCUCUCUGCUAAAUCGUAAGAUGAUGUAUAGGGGGUGACGCCUGCCCGGUGCUGGAAGGUUAAGAGGAGUGCUUAGCGUAAGCGAAGGCAUGAAUUGAAGCCCCAGUAAACGGCGGCCGUAACUAUAACGGUCCUAAGGUAGCGAAAUUCCUUGUCGGGUAAGUUCCGACCCGCACGAAAGGCGUAAUGAUUUGGGCACUGUCUCAACGAGAGACUCGGUGAAAUUUUAGUACCUGUGAAGAUGCAGGUUACCCGCGACAGGACGGAAAGACCCCAUGGAGCUUUACUGCAGUUUGAUAUUGAGUAUCUGUACCACAUGUACAGGAUAGGUAGGAGCCUAUGACCUCGGGACGCCAGUUUCGAGUGAGGCGUUGUUGGGAUACUACCCUUGUGUUAUGGCUACUCUAACCCAGAUAGGUUAUCCCUAUCGGAGACAGUGUCUGACGGGCAGUUUGACUGGGGCGGUCGCCUCCUAAAAGGUAACGGAGGCGCCCAAAGGUUCCCUCAGAAUGGUUGGAAAUCAUUCGCAGAGUGUAAAGGUAUAAGGGAGCUUGACUGCGAGAGUUACAACUCGAGCAGGGACGAAAGUCGGGCUUAGUGAUCCGGUGGUUCCGUAUGGAAGGGCCAUCGCUCAACGGAUAAAAGCUACCCUGGGGAUAACAGGCUUAUCUCCCCCAAGAGUUCACAUCGACGGGGAGGUUUGGCACCUCGAUGUCGGCUCGUCGCAUCCUGGGGCUGUAGUCGGUCCCAAGGGUUGGGCUGUUCGCCCAUUAAAGCGGCACGCGAGCUGGGUUCAGAACGUCGUGAGACAGUUCGGUCCCUAUCCGUCGCGGGCGUAGGAAAUUUGAGAGGAUCUGCUCCUAGUACGAGAGGACCAGAGUGGACUUACCGCUGGUGUACCAGUUGUUCUGCCAAGAGCAUCGCUGGGUAGCUAUGUAGGGAAGGGAUAAACGCUGAAAGCAUCUAAGUGUGAAGCCCACCUCAAGAUGAGAUUUCCCAUGAUUUU